GACGAACGCUGGCGGCGUGCUUAACACAUGCAAGUCGAACGGAAAGGCCCGGCUUUUGCGGGGUUCUCGAGUGGCGAACGGGUGUGUAACACGUGAGUAACCUGUGCUUUACUUUGGGAUAACUUCAGUGAACUGGGGCUAUUACCGGGUAUGAGCUCCUUCUGCAUGGUGGGUGUGGGAGAGUUUCGGCGUUUGGGGAUGUACUUGAGGUUUAUCAUCUUGUUGGUGGGGUAGUGGCUUACCAAGGCUUUGACGGGUAGCCGGACUGGGAGGGUGACCGGCCCCAUACGGACUCAGAUGCGAGCCAGAGUCCUACGGCAGGAAGCAGUGAGGAAUAUUGCAAACUAGGCGGAAGGCUGAUGCAGGAACGCCGCGUGCGAGAUGACGGCCUUCAGGUUGUAAAGCGCUUUCGCCUGUGACGAAGAGUGAGUGACGGUAAUGGGUAAAGAAGCAACGGCUAACUACGUG
Molecule: ribosomal RNA, 468 nt
Filed under: uncultured bacterium
Lineage: Bacteria
Description: partial 16S ribosomal RNA
Rfam family: Bacterial small subunit ribosomal RNA
Source: RNAcentral